UACGAAGGGGGCUAGCGUUGCUCGGAAUGACUGGGCGUAAAGGGCGCGUAGGCGGUUCGUACAGUCAGACGUGAAAUCCCUCGGCUUAACCGGGGAACUGCGUCUGAUACUGGAUGGCUUGAGGUUGGGAGAGGGAUGCGGAAUUCCAGGUGUAGCGGUGAAAUGCGUAGAUAUCUGGAGGAACACCGGUGGCGAAGGCGGCAUCCUGGACCAAUUCUGACGCUGAGGAGCGAAAGCCAGGGUAGCGAACGGG
Molecule: ribosomal RNA, 253 nt
Filed under: uncultured bacterium
Lineage: Bacteria
Description: partial 16S ribosomal RNA
Rfam family: Bacterial small subunit ribosomal RNA
Source: RNAcentral